GGGAAGUAAAAGUCGUAACAAGGYUUCCGUAGGUGAACCUGCGGAAGGAUCAUUAAUGAAAUGAAUGUCGAAAAGGGUUGUAGCUGGCCUCUUGAGGUAUGUGCACACCUUUAUCGCGCAUCCACAUCUCACACCUGUGCACAACCUGUAGCUUGGGAUGAUUACAAUUCUGGAAACGGUAUUGAAAGCCCUUGCUAUGAAUUUUUAAACAACCGUAUUAAAAGUUAUAGAAUGUUAUGGCGUGUAACAGCGCAAAUAAAUAUACAACUUUCAGCAACGGAUCUCUUGGCUCUCGCAUCGAUGAGAACGCAGCGAAAUGCGAUAAGUAAUGUGAAUUGCAGAAUUCAGUGAAUCAUCGAAUCUUUGAACGCACCUUGCGCUCCUUGGUAUUCUGAGGAGCAUGCCUGUUUGAGUGUCAUGAAGCUCUCAACUGCUUUAGCUUGUUAUGGUUGAAGUGAAGUUGGAUUUGGAGGAAUGAUUAUUGCUGGCGUGACCUUUUCAGGUUGCUUGUUAGCUCCUCUUAAAUGGAUGAACUUUCCAGUAGUAAAAUAACACCAAUGUGAUAAUUAUCUACGUUGGAUGUGCUUUUUACAAGGAAAGAUAUAUCUGUCUUGAAGGCAAACACCUCUUGACGAAACAAAUGACAAAUUUGACCUCAAAUCAGGUAGGACUACCCGCUGAACUUAAGCAUAUCAAUAAGCGGAGGAAAAGAAACUAACAAGGAUUCCCCUAGUAACUGCGAGUGAAGCGGGAAAAGCUCAAAUUUAAAAUCUGGCGUUCCUUUGGUCGUCCGAGUUGUASUCUGGAGAAGUGUUUUCCGCGCUGGACC
Molecule: ribosomal RNA, 829 nt
Filed under: uncultured Pseudotomentella
Lineage: Eukaryota; Fungi; Basidiomycota; Agaricomycetes; Thelephorales; Thelephoraceae
Description: eukaryotic LSU rRNA
Rfam family: 5.8S ribosomal RNA (bases 266-418)
Source: RNAcentral